GGAGACGUGGCCGAGUGGUCGAAGGCGCUCCCCUGCUAAGGGAGUAGACGGGUAACCGUCUCGAGGGUUCGAAUCCCUUCGUCUCCGCCA
RNAcentral lists this transfer RNA (90 nucleotides) under Silicimonas sp. Its description in RNAcentral is "tRNA-Ser". It matches the Rfam family "tRNA". Rfam says of the family: Transfer RNA (tRNA) molecules are approximately 80 nucleotides in length. Their secondary structure includes four short double-helical elements and three loops (D, anti-codon, and T loops). Lineage: Bacteria; Pseudomonadati; Pseudomonadota; Alphaproteobacteria; Rhodobacterales; Paracoccaceae. The record is from RNAcentral. RNAcentral also lists the same sequence under 1 other name.